RNAcentral lists this unclassified non-coding RNA (3107 nucleotides) under Hevea brasiliensis (rubber tree). Lineage: Eukaryota; Viridiplantae; Streptophyta; Magnoliopsida; Malpighiales; Euphorbiaceae. The record is from RNAcentral.
GAUUUUAUUCUGAACGAAUCACUUGUUCCCCACAGUAAUGUUACAACAAAUAGCAUAUAUUCAGCAUUGACAUUGAAUCUUUCAUCCAUAAAUUAUAGAGCUAAGCAAGUGGUUCCACUUGAUGAAGAGGACUCACCAAGAAACUCUGAUCUCAACUGCAUAAGCAGCCUGCCCAGAUAAUUUAGGCCUUCACCUUCCCGGCCUCCACCCCAAAAAAGAUCAUGUGGGGAAGCUUCAACAAGAACAGAGCCAGCAGUUGAGAGCAGCAUAGAAUUCAAAUGAGGAUAAAUAGAGAACUUGCGUUUUAAUGCCUUGUACAUGACAUCAAUCUUGACAUUAUCCCAGUCAGAUCUCACCUGCACAUCACAUGGACUAUCAGCUUCCAACAAAUUGCCAGGAGUAUAAGGGAUUCAAAGUGAGCAAUUGACGUUCCCAAGAGGCCAAGAUCCAUAUCCUCCAAUAAGAUACCAGUUGAUCGUUAGCAAGGACCAAUAUAGUCAAUCUAAAUUCUACUCAGUACAUAAUUACUAUUAAGGAAGAGAGACGUGCAAAAUCACAUGAAAAUGAAAACACAAUAUCGAUUAUGUAAGAACUUAAGGCACUUACUUUUCUGUAUUAUUAACAUUAUAACCCUAGAUUUCAUUAACAUACUAUGAGCCAAGGUAUUUGAAAUUUUCACAAAAGUAGCCAAUCAUUAUAAAAAUGACAGAUUCUAUUCAUGUGAAAAAAUUAAUGCCAUGCACUGAUGCAUUGCACUUUGACCAUCCUAACAACAAUGAAUUGAUGCCUAAAAUUCAUAAGUUGGCGAGUGCCAAUACUCCCUACCAUACCAAUCAUUUACCAUGGACUUCUGUAUCCUAAGCUAGGCUACCAUCUGCCAGUACAACUCCAUUUUUACCUAUGUUGUGCUUCAUUGCUGAUAAGUAGGCAUUUUCUUCAUGUACAGGGAAAGUGCUUGAGUUGUGCUACUUUCAAGCCUUUUUGGGUUUUAAAUUAGGAAAGCUAUUAUAUUAAUGGAAACUGAAGCAUAGAAUGCUAACAUCAUAGAAUGAACAUUAUGCCCUUAUUCUUGGAUAAGUAAAGAGUCCAAUCUGAAUCUCUAUCAAAAAGUAGAAGAACACACCAGAUUGGGGCACUGCCUCUGCAUUGACCUUCCCAUUCGUGCUGCUUCCUCUGGACUUUUUGCUGACUUUAUCUUCUCAAUGCAAUCUUUUGCUACAGGAUCAUUCACCCCCAAAAACUUGUGUGCCUAAAAUUCAGAAAAUUGUGAUAGAAUUCUACAAUAUGCGUGAGAAAACAAAUAUUAUGCUUAAAAGGCAAGUACCUGGUAAUAAUGCUCUACACUUGACCAUGUGGCAUAAUCACCAUUGCUAUCAAACAUUUGAAUUGGAUGAGGAGAAAAAUUUGAAAAAGCCCCAUAAGGAUCCCAAGUCUUAUAGAAGAAUAUGAUGCUUGAUUCAUAAGGAGUGACAGUAGAAUCAAUUGCAAAAGGCUUAUCCUCCAAUGGGAUAACUGGAGUCAGUUCCGGGAUAGGCUGAAGAAAUCCACAAUUAGAAUAUCUGGUCCAACCUGUUCAUAGCAAACAUCAAUUAAAUCCAAGGCUAGUGACAUUUCAACCAUCCCUAGUUCACCCACAGGAGUUGGUGCACUCUAUUCACCAAUAAUCUUUGGAGCGACAAAUGCAAAAACCUGCAACAGAGAAGUUAUGGCAAAGAGUAGCAUUAACUGAAGUGAAACCUAUUUGCAAGUUAUGAGCAUAAGAUGAACACAUGUCCAGCAUGAGUUACAAACUUCAAUUUUUUUUAAUGAAAUGUCAAGUAAAUCUGACUUUGAAUUUUCUUUAUAUCUGCAUGAGAAUGAAGACAUCACUCCAUUAAACUUUUCCAGUUAACAAGUAAAUAUCCUGAAAGGAAGUCACCUACAUCUCAUAUCACAUAUUCCCAAAACAGUUAAAAAUUAAAAGUAGAAAACUAAAGAAUAAAUCUUGUGUAAAACACCAGCUGAAAUAGCAGAGGCAGCAAGUGUCCCUCCACACUCCCACAAAACGGAUAAAUAUCCAAAAUCGUGAAAAUAUUCCAUGACUUCUCUAGGAAUUAAGACAUCAAACUCCACCACUUCAACUCCUUUGGAUGCAAGUAGUUUCGAGAAACUCCUCCUCUCACCUCCUUGUGUUGCAACUAUGGUAGAAACAUCAGACACAUCUCAAAGAUUUGCUUCCUCAGGAAGAUCAAGCGUCUGUGACAUUACAAUCCGCAUAGGCAUAUGCCCACCGCAAUGUCUAGCAGUCAAUUGAGGGUCUUACUCAAAAUAAAUAACUAAAUAAAAUUCGCAGCAAAAAUCAUAACAGAACAAGACAUUAUCACAUCAUGAAAACAAUUAAAGUGUCAAUAAUGUAUCAUACUUAAUGUCUCUUCGAGCAGUAUUUCCUCCAACAAUAAUGGCAUCACUUCUGCCCCGCAGUUCGAAAAAUCAAUUCCUUGGAUUCCAGCUGCCAUGUCAGUUAUAAUUUACUUCAAAGGAAGAGAAAAUGAGAAGCUUAUGAGGAAAUCUCAACAAGAACAGAGACAGCAGCGUGGUCUCUCCGGGCUCCAUAUUCAAAUAAGCAGUAGCGCCUUUGCUCCAACCAGCAGCAGCCUCCACCGAUUGAACCUCAGCAGGCUUAGUCCCCUGCGCUCAUAGAUAACCCUGCCCGGCGAUAUUUCCAGUUAAAGUUGCAACGAAGCAACCGAAAUUCGGGUCAGGGGAGGUGUAGCCGGCAGACUUGUUGGCUAACUCGGCAGCGAGUCGGAUAAAGGCGGCGUCAUUGGAGUGGAAGUGAUUGGAAAUAAAGCAGCAGAUAAUAGGUUAGGAGCGGAAGCAGUUGAGAUAAGACCAUUUGUGCGAUUAAUUUAAGCUCAAUUGAUCAUUCUACAUCCUAUCUAUCCACGAAUUGCCUUCUGUAAGUCUGGUUUGCUAGAAGUUGCAACCAUUAUUUGGACUUGGAAGUUCAUGGAAAGACAGCGUCAACGACGGCCUCAGAAGAAGAUAAUAUGGGUCGUCAGAGAAAACAGGCCAAUUACAGAAGUUUCUUCCGAGAAAAUGGGCUCUGGCUCUGGUUUUGGUUUGAC